UGAGGAAUAUUGGUCAAUGGACGGAAGUCUGAACUAGCCAAGUAGCGUGCAGGAUGACGGCCCUAUGGGUUGUAAACUGCUUUUGUAUGGGGAUAAAGUUAGGGACGUGUCCCUAUUUGCAGGUACCAUACGAAUAAGGACCGGCUAAUUCCGUGCCAGCAGCCGCGGUAAUACGGAAGGUCCAGGCGUUAUCCGGAUUUAUUGGGUUUAAAGGGAGCGUAGGCUGGAGAUUAAGUGUGUUGUGAAAUGUAGACGCUCAACGUCUGAAUUGCAGCGCAUACUGGUUUCCUUGAGUACGCACAACGUUGGCGGAAUUCGUCGUGUAGCGGUGAAAUGCUUAGAUAUGACGAAGAACUCCGAUUGCGAAGGCAGCUGACGGGAGCGCAACUGACGCUUAAGCUCGAAGGUGCGGGUAUCAAACAGGAUUAGAUACCCUGGUAGUCCGCACAGUAAACGAUGGAUGCCCGCUGUUGGUACCUGGUAUCAGCGGCUAAGCGAAAGCAUUAAGCAUCCCACCUGGGGAGUACGCCGGCAACGGUG
RNAcentral lists this ribosomal RNA (540 nucleotides) under uncultured bacterium. RNAcentral's name for it is "bacterial SSU rRNA". It matches the Rfam family "Bacterial small subunit ribosomal RNA", at positions 355 to 896 of the family's 1533-position model. The record is from RNAcentral.